GACGAACGCUGGCGGCGUGCCUAAUACAUGCAAGUAGAACGCUGAAGGAGGAGCUUGCUUCUCUGGAUGAGUUGCGAACGGGUGAGUAACGCGUAGGUAACCUGCCUGGUAGCGGGGGAUAACUAUUGGAAACGAUAGCUAAUACCGCAUAAGAGUAGAUGUUGCAUGACAUUUGCUUAAAAGGUGCAAUUGCAUCACUACCAGAUGGACCUGCGUUGUAUUAGCUAGUUGGUGGGGUAACGGCUCACCAAGGCGACGAUACAUAGCCGACCUGAGAGGGUGAUCGGCCACACUGGGACUGAGACACGGCCCAGACUCCUACGGGAGGCAGCAGUAGGGAAUCUUCGGCAAUGGACGGAAGUCUGACCGAGCAACGCCGCGUGAGUGAAGAAGGUUUUCGGAUCGUAAAGCUCUGUUGUAAGAG
This 424-nucleotide ribosomal RNA is filed under the name Streptococcus mitis. RNAcentral describes it as "bacterial SSU rRNA". It matches the Rfam family "Bacterial small subunit ribosomal RNA", at positions 28 to 444 of the family's 1533-position model. Lineage: Bacteria; Bacillati; Bacillota; Bacilli; Lactobacillales; Streptococcaceae. The record is from RNAcentral.